CUGGAUAUGGUGUAACGGCUAACAUUUGCGUCUCGUACGUUGAAUAUCUCGUCAGAGCGCAAACUUGGGGUUCGACUCCCUGUGUCCAAA
Molecule: non-coding RNA, 90 nt
Organism: Fistulina hepatica ATCC 64428
Lineage: Eukaryota; Fungi; Basidiomycota; Agaricomycetes; Agaricales; Fistulinaceae
Source: the annotation of a GenBank genome assembly